This is a small nucleolar RNA of Kryptolebias marmoratus (mangrove rivulus), 82 nucleotides long. The record is from Ensembl. Lineage: Eukaryota; Metazoa; Chordata; Actinopteri; Cyprinodontiformes; Rivulidae.
UUGACACAAUGAUGAUUCCAUAGUUCAGCAGAUUUAAACUGAAGAAUACUAGCUUGUCUUUCGCUCCUAUCUGAAGUGUCAA